Molecule: ribosomal RNA, 448 nt
Filed under: uncultured bacterium
Lineage: Bacteria
Description: bacterial SSU rRNA
Rfam family: Bacterial small subunit ribosomal RNA
Source: RNAcentral
UUCCAGACUCCUACGGGAGGCAGCAGUGGGGAAUAUUGCACAAUGGGGGAAACCCUGAUGCAGCGACGCCGCGUGAGUGAAGGAGUAUUUCGGUACGUAAAGCCCUAUCAGCAGGGAAGAAAAUGACGGUACCUGACUAAGAAGCCCCGGCUAACUACGUGCCAGCAGCCGCGGUAAUACGUAGGGGGCGAGCGUUAUCCGGAUUUACUGGGUGUAAAGGGAGCGUAGACGGCAGUGCAAGCCAGGAGUGAAAGCCCGGGGCCCAACCCCGGGACUGCUCUGGGAACUGCGCGGCUGGAGUGCGGGAGGGGCAGGCGGAAUUCCUGGUGUAGCGGUGAAAUGCGUAGAUAUCAGGAGGAACACCGGUGGCGAAGGCGGCCUGCUGGACUGCGACUGACGUUGAGGCCCGAAAGCGUGGGGAGCAAACAGGAUUAGAUACCCCGGUAGC